CCAUGAACUGAACUAACGAGCUGAUGAUCUCAAUCAAGUGUGUUAAAUAAGGGAGACAUGCAAAAUGUGCAGAGCAGGGGUCCUCUAGGACUGGGACUUCCCUGAGCAGAAGCUCUCUGGCAAGGUCAGGCCUUCCCACGCGGGUCAAGCAGCGGGCCAGCAUGGGGCAUUUCAGAGUUGAGGAAGGGAGGCCCCGCCUCCACGCUGUUAGAACAUGAAAGGACUGUUGUGAGAGGCUGUGUGGUGCACGGAGUCGAGCGAUCUGGACAGCUGAGCGUCGGAGAUGGAGAGAUGUAAUGAGAAGCGCUGCAUCAUCCUCGAGUGAGCGGCAGCCGACAGACAGGCUCUCCCAAAGGACAGUCUAUAGACACGGCCGCCCUGUCACCAUUCCAGACCAGCUGAUCUUUGGCGACCUUGAAUAAACUGAUUACACCUUUGUAGUGAAGAGAGAUGUAGUUG
Molecule: long non-coding RNA, 459 nt
Organism: Labeo rohita (rohu)
Lineage: Eukaryota; Metazoa; Chordata; Actinopteri; Cypriniformes; Cyprinidae
Exons: 3
Source: RefSeq, a predicted model, not a curated record